RNAcentral lists this long non-coding RNA (395 nucleotides) under Pan troglodytes (chimpanzee). RNAcentral describes it as "lincRNA". The record is from RNAcentral. Lineage: Eukaryota; Metazoa; Chordata; Mammalia; Primates; Hominidae.
UUGAAAGGUUUUAAUUAGUAUACUGUUAGAUGCAGCACAGAUCUAAAAUGAUGUCUAGUCGUUUUUCAUAUAAUUUGAUCAAGACCUUUUUGUUUUGGAUAAAAUGCAAUGAAGACUGUGUGGGGAAAACAGCCAAAGUAUUUUAGAAAUCUUAUGGGGCCUCCAUUCCGACUAAGUACUAAACUAAAUCAGAAUUUCCAACUAUCAUUCCUCGUGUAUUAGGAAGAAAAAGAUCUAAAACAUUUAUCAAACCUUUAAAAUACGAAGAGAAAUGGAAAAAGUAACAAUUGCUUCACCCCAGGAUUUUAAGAGACUGGAUUCCAUGUGUAGAUUGUUUCUAAAAGUAAAUCCUAUCCCCUCAAAAGAUACCAUAAAAUAAACUAUUUUAAAAUACC